AACGCGAAGAACCUUACCAGGUCUUGACAUACCGGCAAAGCUCAGUAGAUGAGGAAAUAGUUAUGCCGGAUACAGGUGGUGCAUGGUUGUCGUCAGCUCGUGUCGUGAGAUGUUGGGUUAAGUCCCGCAACGAGCGCAACCCUUGUCUUCAGUUACCAUCAUUCAGUUGGGGACUCUGGAGAGACUGCCGGUGACAAACCGGAGGAAGGUGGGAUGACGUCAAAUCAUCAUGCCCCUUAUGGCCUGGGCUACACACGUACUACAAUGGCGUAUACAACGGGAAGCGAAAUGGUGACAUGGAGCAAAUCUCACAAAGUACGUCUCAGUUCGGAUUGAAGUCUGCAACUCGACUUCAUGAAGUCGGAAUCGCUAGUAAUCGCGGAUCAGCAUGCCGCGGUGAAUACGUUCUCGGGCCUU
This 417-nucleotide ribosomal RNA is filed under the name uncultured Erysipelothrix sp. RNAcentral describes it as "bacterial SSU rRNA". It matches the Rfam family "Bacterial small subunit ribosomal RNA", at positions 958 to 1382 of the family's 1533-position model. Lineage: Bacteria; Bacillati; Bacillota; Erysipelotrichia; Erysipelotrichales; Erysipelotrichaceae. The record is from RNAcentral.